Argiope bruennichi is the source of this 1304-nucleotide long non-coding RNA. RefSeq lists it as uncharacterized. The transcript is spliced from 3 exons. NCBI's taxonomy places the organism in Eukaryota, Metazoa, Arthropoda, Arachnida, Araneae, Araneidae. The record is from RefSeq and is a predicted model, not a curated record.
UCACGCCUACUUCAGAAAAAUCACGUGACUGCAACGGGACAAUGGCAAAUGGUUGUCCCGUCGGGACAACUAUUAGCCAUGCUUUGUGAAGUUCCAAACCACAGGUUCACUUAUUCUGGACGUAGCCAAGGCCUUUGAUAAAAUUUGGCACGAAGGGUUUACUGUUUAAUGCAGAUCGAAAGUGGAAUGCAUUUAAGUCUCAAUUAAGAAAAGUUCUCAGAAAUAUUACAACUGAAUGGCAGAAUCUAAUGUCUAUUACUUCAUGGCUAAGAGUAGUACAAUUUGUAGCUGGCAAAUUCUUGUUCAGCUAUGUUCGAGAGAAAUUUCGUGUAUUGAAACUUUUUAGAAACAGCGAUGCUAAAUUGCUGUUAAAAUGUGAUAUUAUAAGAUCCUUGCAACAUCCUAGAGAUGCAGAACUACGUCAUGUGGUAAUAAGGGAGGCUCUAGAGAGAAGACAAAAAGAUGGAAAAGUUCCUCUUCAGUUUAACUUUGUAGCCCCUGCAGGUGAUCUCAAAAUGAUCGGUGGUAUCACAGAUUAGGAUAUUUCAGAUAAAUAUAACAGCCUUCAAAACAGGUGCAAAAAAGCACCAUAAUAAAUACAAAAAUAAUUUACUAUUGAAUCAUAUCAGUAAUUGGUUUGUAAUCGCCUUCAGUGGGAUCGAUUCUUAUGAGGUAUGCCACAUAUCUUAGGCUGUGCUUAACAUCUGAGAUUUCUUUUGAGACAACUGAAAUAUUUCUGUUCCGUUAUCAUUGCAAUUUUAAUGUUAUAUUCCAUCUGUCAUCAUUGUAAUGUUAUAUUCCAACAUUAUAUGGAAAGAAAUUAAUAAAAUUUUAAUGUUUAUUACUUAUUUUUUUUAUCAUUCUUAAUACUUUACCAUAUUUCUGUGUGAAAGUCUUGUAGUGAUCGUAACGCUACCUAUCUACUUUCCCUAAUACAAUCUAUGUUAAUACUUCUCCCGGGGAAUCCCCGUUCUGUGUAUACGUGCGCUAAGCAGCGAUAUUCGAUAGUUGUUAGUGUAAUAAAGAGUUUAUUUUUCUAAUAGCGAUGAAAUGCUUUAUACUACACUCUACAUGAACAUCACCACAGUCUCCUUAAUAGACAGUUUCAUUUCAUUGAAUGAAUCUCUAAAUAUGCUAUUAAACAAUAAGUACUUAGUAUUAAUUUAAGUUGCUGUGUGUUUGUUUGGUUUUACAUUGUACAAGACUUUAUUUUUAUUUAAUUCACACAAUGGUCAUGUCUUUAUCUAUAAUUUCUGUAAUAACAUUGUGUUGGUAGAAAAUAAAUCUCUUCUUCAUGUGGAAAA